RNAcentral lists this ribosomal RNA (497 nucleotides) under uncultured bacterium. Its description in RNAcentral is "partial 16S ribosomal RNA". It matches the Rfam family "Bacterial small subunit ribosomal RNA", at positions 28 to 507 of the family's 1533-position model. The record is from RNAcentral.
GAUGAACGCUGGCGGCGUGCCUAAUACAUGCAAGUCGAGCGAACGGGCGAGAAGCUUGCUUUUCUGAUGUUAGCGGCGGACGGGUGAGUAACACGUGGAUAACCUACCUAUAAGACUGGGAUAACUUCGGGAAACCGGAGCUAAUACCGGAUAAUAUUUUGAACCGCAUGGUUCAAAAGUGAAAGACGGUCUUGCUGUCACUUAUAGAUGGAUCCGCGCUGCAUUAGCUAGUUGGUAAGGUAACGGCUUACCAAGGCAACGAUGCAUAGCCGACCUGAGAGGGUGAUCGGCCGCACUGGAACGUAGACAGCGUUGAGAGUACGACGGGAGGAGACACGCGGGAAGAGUGCGCAAAGGGCGCAGAUCUGACGGUGCUAUGCCGCGUGAAUAACGAAGGUUUACGGAUCCUGGAACUCGUUUACGGGACAAAAAAAAAUGUGCAAGUAAAUCUGCCCGUCUGCACGGGACCUAAUCCGAAGACCACCGCUCGCUACGUG